UCAACAUCACAUAGGAUUCCACGGUCACACAUAUCACAUUAUAUCUUAAUUUCAACAAUUACAUCACAUAUAAGCCCCAUCAUGGACACAACACAUAAAUAGCCAUUUUUCAUGAUUAAUUUUCAUCCUUAAUAUGCAUUUUGUACCAUCAUUUACUACCAGGUUCUAAAUACCAUUUUCUUUCUCCUAUAUGGUGUGUAAUAUCUGAUAAAAAUUACACGUACAACUUUCCUGUGUAUAUCAUAAAACUGAUUCAAGUUAAUUUUUUCCAAAUCCUUUGAAGCCAUGAACGGAGACUAGAGUAGGAUAAUGGAGAGACGAGCAAAGCUUGGACUGCUUGAGGAAACUUGACCCGAGUUUAGGAUAGUGGAGAGACGAUCAAAGCUUGGACUGCUUGAAGAAGCUUGACCCGGUAAAACUCUAAACCCGUCAGAAACCUCAGACUCUUCUCGCCCUUUCGUUUAGAUUUGAGCACCUAACCUCUUAUUUACUGCUUCAGCUACAUUGCCUCUUUAUGUUGAACUGAUUUAAACGGGUGGUCCGAGUUGCAGCAACAAAAAUAACUAAAACCACCCAUUGGAGAUCAGUGAAAAUCUACUUCGUAUGGAGGUUUUGAUUUCCGGCCUAAGAAUUUUCAGCCUUAGCUUUCUGAUCAAUUUUUGUGGAA
RNAcentral lists this long non-coding RNA (667 nucleotides) under Capsicum annuum. Its description in RNAcentral is "long non-coding RNA (CANN_LNC003294)". Lineage: Eukaryota; Viridiplantae; Streptophyta; Magnoliopsida; Solanales; Solanaceae. The record is from RNAcentral.